CCCUUAGAUGUCCGGGACUGCACGCGCGCUACACUGAAGGAAUCAGCGUGCUAAAACCAUUGUCGAAAGGCAUUGGUAAACCCAUUAAAAUCCUACGUGAUUGGGAUCGGGAAUUGCAAUUAUUUCCCUUGAACGAGGAAUUCCCAGUAAGUGUGGGUCAUAAGCUCGCGUUGAUUACGUCCCUGCCCUUUGUACACACCGCCCGUCGCUGCCCGGGACUGAGCCGUUUCGAGAAAAGCGGGGACUGCUGCUGUCGGGGCUUUCGGGCCUUGGCUUCGGUGGAAACCGCUUUAAUCGCAGUGGCUUGAACCGGGCAAAAGUCGUAACA
This 328-nucleotide ribosomal RNA is filed under the name uncultured eukaryote. RNAcentral's name for it is "partial 18S ribosomal RNA". It matches the Rfam family "Eukaryotic small subunit ribosomal RNA", at positions 1470 to 1796 of the family's 1831-position model. The record is from RNAcentral.